Pogoniulus pusillus (Red-fronted tinkerbird) is the source of this 899-nucleotide long non-coding RNA. RefSeq lists it as uncharacterized. The transcript is spliced from 2 exons. The record is from RefSeq and is a predicted model, not a curated record. NCBI's taxonomy places the organism in Eukaryota, Metazoa, Chordata, Aves, Piciformes, Lybiidae.
GGACCAGGAGCACGAACUGGAGCUGGGAGCCGAGCAGGAGCAGCAGCUGGUAAUGGAACUGGUAACGGAGCAGAAGCGGGCUGGCUGGAGGAGCACAGGGGCCGGAGCUGCAUUCAGCUGCCCGGGGGCAGGCAGCGCUGCCAGGACCCUGGCGCACACCCGCACAGGCUGUGCCGUGCCCCGGCAGGAGCUUUUGCAGCAGCUGCUCUCCGCUGCGGGUUCAGUGUCCUGCUGCAAGGAGGCUCUGCCUGCAGCUCAGAGCUGCCUUGCACCGUCUCAAGGGGCUCUCCAGGAAGGAGUCCCUCAGCCUGCUCUCAGCUCUCCUUCAGCUGCUGAAACGUAGCUCGAAGGUCUCCCUGGAGCCUUCUCCUCUCCAGGCUGAGCAGCCACAGCUCUCUCAGGCUGCCUUCACAGCAGAGCUUCUCCCACCCUCUGCUCAUGUUUGUGGCCUGCUCUGGAAGCCCUCCAGCAGCUCCCUGGCUCCCUUGGGUUGGGGGUGCCCCAGAGCUGGCCACAGCAGUCCAGGCUGAGCUCUCCCCAAAGCAGAGGGGCAGAUGGUUCACAAGCACAGACCCCACAGGCUGCCCAACGACCUUCCCACACUGCAGCUCCAGGUUUCAGUCACAUCCUUUUAGUGUCAAAGCUGAGAGACUUGAGGGCUAAGGCACCAGCAGCACUGUGCUUCAAGCCAGAGAAACACCAAAUAAAAGGAGACCUCUCUUAACUGCAGUUUAAUUGCCCAAGACAAGCACUAAGACAAGGAACAUGCAGAUGAAUUGGGUGACUUGCAGAGCCUAAACAGCUUUAUGAGGCUCCUCCAACACAGUGCCCAGUUACAAACUGCUUCCCUGUGGAAGCAUUUUCACUUCCAGUGUUCUCCAAGCACCUGAUUUUUCACA